GACGAACGCUGGCGGCGUGCUUAACACAUGCAAGUCGAACGGAAAGGCCCUGCUUUUGUGGGGUGCUCGAGUGGCGAACGGGUGAGUAACACGUGAGUAACCUGCCCUUGACUUUGGGAUAACUUCAGGAAACUGGGGCUAAUACCGGAUAGGAGCUCCUGCUGCAUGGUGGGGGUUGGAAAGUUUCGGCGGUUGGGGAUGGACUCGCGGCUUAUCAGCUUGUUGGUGGGGUAGUGGCUUACCAAGGCUUUGACGGGUAGCCGGCCUGAGAGGGUGACCGGCCACAUUGGGACUGAGAUACGGACCAGACUCCUACGGGAGGCAGCAGUGGGGAAUAUUGCACAAUGGGCGGACGCCUGAUGCAGCAACGCCGCGUGCGGGAUGACGGCCUUCGGGUUGUAAACCGCUUUCGCCUGUGACGAAGCGUGAGUGACGGUAAUGGGUAAAGAAGCACCGGCUAACUACGUG
This 468-nucleotide ribosomal RNA is filed under the name uncultured bacterium. Its description in RNAcentral is "partial 16S ribosomal RNA". It matches the Rfam family "Bacterial small subunit ribosomal RNA", at positions 28 to 507 of the family's 1533-position model. The record is from RNAcentral.